This 363-nucleotide ribosomal RNA is filed under the name Bacillus pumilus. RNAcentral describes it as "bacterial SSU rRNA". It matches the Rfam family "Bacterial small subunit ribosomal RNA", at positions 1142 to 1503 of the family's 1533-position model. The record is from RNAcentral. Lineage: Bacteria; Bacillati; Bacillota; Bacilli; Caryophanales; Bacillaceae.
AAGGUGACUGCCGGUGACAAACCGGAGGAAGGUGGGGAUGACGUCAAAUCAUCAUGCCCCUUAUGACCUGGGCUACACACGUGCUACAAUGGACAGAACAAAGGGCUGCGAGACCGCAAGGUUUAGCCAAUCCCACAAAUCUGUUCUCAGUUCGGAUCGCAGUCUGCAACUCGACUGCGUGAAGCUGGAAUCGCUAGUAAUCGCGGAUCAGCAUGCCGCGGUGAAUACGUUCCCGGGCCUUGUACACACCGCCCGUCACACCACGAGAGUUUGCAACACCCGAAGUCGGUGAGGUAACCUUUAUGGAGCCAGCCGCCGAAGGUGGGGCAGAUGAUUGGGGUGAAGUCGUAACAAGGUAGCCGU